ACAGGAUUAGAUACCCUGGUAGUCCACGCCGUAAACGAUGUCGACUUGGAGGCUGUUCCCCUGAGGAGUGGCUUCCGGAGCUAACGCGUUAAGUCGACCGCCUGGGGAGUACGGCCGCAAGGUUAAAACUCAAAUGAAUUGACGGGGGCCCGCACAAGCGGUGGAGCAUGUGGUUUAAUUCGAUGCAACGCGAAGAACCUUACCUACUCUUGACAUCCAGAGAACUUUCCAGAGAUGGAUUGGUGCCUUCGGGAACUCUGAGACAGGUGCUGCAUGGCUGUCGUCAGCUCGUGUUGUGAAAUGUUGGGUUAAGUCCCGCAACGAGCGCAACCCUUAUCCUUUGUUGCCAGCGAUUCGGUCGGGAACUCAAAGGAGACUGCCGGUGAUAAACCGGAGGAAGGUGGGGAUGACGUCAAGUCAUCAUGGCCCUUACGAGUAGGGCUACACACGUGCUACAAUGGCGCAUACAAAGAGAAGCGACCUCGCGAGAGCAAGCGGACCUCAUAAAGUGCGUCGUAGUCCGGAUCGGAGUCUGCAACUCGACUCCGUGAAGUCGGAAUCGCUAGUAAUCGUGGAUCAGAAUGCCACGGUGAAUACGUUCCCGGGCCUUGUACACACCGCCCGUCACACCAUGGGAGUGGGUUGCAAAAGAAGUAGGUAGCUUAACCUUCGGGAGGGCGCUUACCACUUUGUGAUUCAUGACUGGGGUG
Molecule: ribosomal RNA, 710 nt
Filed under: uncultured bacterium
Lineage: Bacteria
Description: bacterial SSU rRNA
Rfam family: Bacterial small subunit ribosomal RNA
Source: RNAcentral